This 1424-nucleotide ribosomal RNA is filed under the name Lacticaseibacillus rhamnosus. RNAcentral's name for it is "bacterial SSU rRNA". It matches the Rfam family "Bacterial small subunit ribosomal RNA". The record is from RNAcentral. Lineage: Bacteria; Bacillati; Bacillota; Bacilli; Lactobacillales; Lactobacillaceae.
UGCAAGUCGAACGAGUUCUGAUUAUUGAAAGGUGCUUGCAUCUUGAUUUAAUUUUGAACGAGUGGCGGACGGGUGAGUAACACGUGGGUAACCUGCCCUUAAGUGGGGGAUAACAUUUGGAAACAGAUGCUAAUACCGCAUAAAUCCAAGAACCGCAUGGUUCUUGGCUGAAAGAUGGCGUAAGCUAUCGCUUUUGGAUGGACCCGCGGCGUAUUAGCUAGUUGGUGAGGUAACGGCUCACCAAGGCAAUGAUACGUAGCCGAACUGAGAGGUUGAUCGGCCACAUUGGGACUGAGACACGGCCCAAACUCCUACGGGAGGCAGCAGUAGGGAAUCUUCCACAAUGGACGCAAGUCUGAUGGAGCAACGCCGCGUGAGUGAAGAAGGCUUUCGGGUCGUAAAACUCUGUUGUUGGAGAAGAAUGGUCGGCAGAGUAACUGUUGUCGGCGUGACGGUAUCCAACCAGAAAGCCACGGCUAACUACGUGCCAGCAGCCGCGGUAAUACGUAGGUGGCAAGCGUUAUCCGGAUUUAUUGGGCGUAAAGCGAGCGCAGGCGGUUUUUUAAGUCUGAUGUGAAAGCCCUCGGCUUAACCGAGGAAGUGCAUCGGAAACUGGAAACUUGAGUGCAGAAGAGGACAGUGGAACUCCAUGUGUAGCGGUGAAAUGCGUAGAUAUAUGGAAGAACACCAGUGGCGAAGGCGGCUGUCUGGUCUGUAACUGACGCUGAGGCUCGAAAGCAUGGGUAGCGAACAGGAUUAGAUACCCUGGUAGUCCAUGCCGUAAACGAUGAAUGCUAGGUGUUGGAGGGUUUCCGCCCUUCAGUGCCGCAGCUAACGCAUUAAGCAUUCCGCCUGGGGAGUACGACCGCAAGGUUGAAACUCAAAGGAAUUGACGGGGGCCCGCACAAGCGGUGGAGCAUGUGGUUUAAUUCGAAGCAACGCGAAGAACCUUACCAGGUCUUGACAUCUUUUGAUCACCUGAGAGAUCAGGUUUCCCCUUCGGGGGCAAAAUGACAGGUGGUGCAUGGUUGUCGUCAGCUCGUGUCGUGAGAUGUUGGGUUAAGUCCCGCAACGAGCGCAACCCUUAUGACUAGUUGCCAGCAUUUAGUUGGGCACUCUAGUAAGACUGCCGGUGACAAACCGGAGGAAGGUGGGGAUGACGUCAAAUCAUCAUGCCCCUUAUGACCUGGGCUACACACGUGCUACAAUGGAUGGUACAACGAGUUGCGAGACCGCGAGGUCAAGCUAAUCUCUUAAAGCCAUUCUCAGUUCGGACUGUAGGCUGCAACUCGCCUACACGAAGUCGGAAUCGCUAGUAAUCGCGGAUCAGCACGCCGCGGUGAAUACGUUCCCGGGCCUUGUACACACCGCCCGUCACACCAUGAGAGUUUGUAACACCCGAAGCCGGUGGCGUAACCCUUUUA